This 446-nucleotide ribosomal RNA is filed under the name uncultured bacterium. Its description in RNAcentral is "bacterial SSU rRNA". It matches the Rfam family "Bacterial small subunit ribosomal RNA", at positions 329 to 792 of the family's 1533-position model. The record is from RNAcentral.
UCCCAGACUCCUACGGGAGGCAGCAGUGGGGAAUAUUGCACAGUGGGGGAAACCCUGAUGCAGCGACGCCGCGUGAGCGAUGAAGUAUUUCGGUAUGUAAAGCUCUAUCAGCAGGGAAGAAAAUGACGGUACCUGACUAAGAAGCCCCGGCUAACUACGUGCCAGCAGCCGCGGUAAUACGUAGGGGGCAAGCGUUAUCCGGAUUUACUGGGUGUAAAGGGAGCGCAGACGGCAUGGCAAGCCAGAUGUGAAAUACCGGGGCUCAACCCCGGGACUGCAUUUGGAACUGUUAAGCUGGAGUGUCGGAGAGGCAGGCGGAAUUCCUAGUGUAGCGGUGAAAUGCGUAGAUAUUAGGAGGAACACCAGUGGCGAAGGCGGCCUGCUGGACGAUAACUGACGUUGAGGCUCGAAAGCGUGGGGAGCAAACAGGAUUAGAUACCCCCGUA